This 465-nucleotide ribosomal RNA is filed under the name uncultured bacterium. RNAcentral describes it as "partial 16S ribosomal RNA". It matches the Rfam family "Bacterial small subunit ribosomal RNA", at positions 28 to 507 of the family's 1533-position model. The record is from RNAcentral.
GACGAACGCUGGCGGCGUGCUUAACACAUGCAAGUCGAACGGAAAGGCCCCUUUGGGGGUACUCGAGUGGCGAACGGGUGAGUAACACGUGAGUAACCUGCCCUUGACUUCGGGAUAACUUCAGGAAACUGGGGCUAAUACCGGAUAGGAAUCCUUGCUGCAUGGUGGGGGUUGGAAAGCUUCGGCGGUUUUGGAUGGACUCGCGGCUUAUCAGCUUGUUGGUGGGGUAGUGGCUUACCAAGGCUUUUACGGGUAGCCGGACUGAGAGGGCGACCGGCCACAUUGGGACUGAGAUACGGCCCAGACUCCUACGGGAGGCAGCAGUGGGGAAGAUUGCACAAUGGGCGGAAGCCUGAUGCAGCACCGCCGCGUGCGGGAUGACGGCCUUCGGGUUGUAAACCGCUUUCAGCAGGGGCGAAGCUUGUGGUGACGGUACCUGCAGAAGAAGCACCGGCUAACUACGUG